RNAcentral lists this ribosomal RNA (239 nucleotides) under uncultured bacterium. RNAcentral describes it as "partial 16S ribosomal RNA". It matches the Rfam family "Bacterial small subunit ribosomal RNA", at positions 16 to 244 of the family's 1533-position model. The record is from RNAcentral.
GACCUGGCUCAGGGUGAACGCUAGCUACAGGCUUAACACAUGCAAGUCGAGGGGAAACGACAUCGAAAGCUUGCUUUUGAUGGGCGUCGACCGGCGCACGGGUGAGUAACGCGUAUCCAACCUGCCCACCACUUGGGGAUAACCUUGCGAAAGUAAGACUAAUACCCAAUGACAUCCCACGAAGACAUCUGAAUGGGAUUAAAGAUUUAUCGGUGAUGGAUGGGGAUGCGUCUGAUUAG